UGAGUGGAGCUUGCUCCAUGAUUCAGCGGCGGACGGGUGAGUAAUGCCUAGGAAUCUGCCUGGUAGUGGGGGACAACGUUUCGAAAGGAACGCUAAUACCGCAUACGUCCUACGGGAGAAAGUGGGGGAUCCCCGGACCUCACGCUAUCAGAUGAGCCUAGGUCGGAUUAGCUAGUUGGUGAGGUAAAGGCUCACCAAGGCGACGAUCCGUAACUGGUCUGAGAGUAUGAUCAGUCACACUGGAACUGAGACACGGUCCAGACUCCUACGGGAGGCAGCAGUGGGGAAUAUUGGACAAUGGGCGAAAGCCUGAUCCAGCCAUGCCGCGUGUGUGAAGAAGGUCUUCGGAUUGUAAAGCACUUUAAGUUGGGAGGAAGGGCAGUAAGUUAAUACCUUGCUGUUUUGACGUUACCAACAGAAUAAGCACCGGCUAACUUCGUGCCAGCAGCCGCGGUAAUACGAAGGGUGCAAGCGUUAAUCGGAAUUACUGGGCGUAAAGCGCGCGUAAAUGGUUCGUUAAGUUGGAUGUGAAAGCCCCCGGCUCAACCUGGGAACUGCAUCCAAAACUGGCGAGCUAGAGUAUGGCAGAGGGUGGUGGAAUUUCCUGUGUAGCGGUGAAAUGCGUAGAUAUAGGAAGGAACACCAGUGGCGAAGGCGACCACCUGGGCUAAUACUGACACUGAGGUGCGAAAGCGUGGGGAGCAAACAUGAUUAGAUACCCUGGUAGUCCACGCCGUAAACGAUGUCGACUAGCCGUUGGGAUCCUUGAGAUCUUAGUGGCGCAGCUAACGCAUUAAGUCGACCGCCUGGGGAGUACGGCCGCAAGGUUAAAACUCAAAUGAAUUGACGGGGGCCCGCACAAGCGGUGGAGCAUGUGGUUUAAUUCGAAGCAACGCGAAGAACCUUACCAGGCCUUGACAUGCAGAGAAC
This 930-nucleotide ribosomal RNA is filed under the name Stutzerimonas stutzeri. RNAcentral describes it as "bacterial SSU rRNA". It matches the Rfam family "Bacterial small subunit ribosomal RNA", at positions 70 to 996 of the family's 1533-position model. The record is from RNAcentral. Lineage: Bacteria; Pseudomonadati; Pseudomonadota; Gammaproteobacteria; Pseudomonadales; Pseudomonadaceae.